RNAcentral lists this ribosomal RNA (253 nucleotides) under uncultured bacterium. RNAcentral describes it as "partial 16S ribosomal RNA". It matches the Rfam family "Bacterial small subunit ribosomal RNA", at positions 524 to 776 of the family's 1533-position model. The record is from RNAcentral.
UCCGGAGGGUGCAAGCGUUAUCCGGAUUCACUGGGCUUAAAGGGUGCGUAGGCGGGUUGGUAAGUCCGUGGUGAAAUCCCCAAGCUUAACUUGGGAACUGCCGUGGAUACUAUCAAUCUUGAAUAUCGUGGAGGUAAGCGGAAUAUGUCAUGUAGCGGUGAAAUGCUUAGAUAUGACAUAGAACACCAAUUGCGUAGGCAGCUUACUACACGAUCAUUGACGCUGAGGCACGAAAGCGUGGGGAGCAAACAGG